CCAUUAAGAAAUAUAUUUGCCUUUGUUUUUGUUUUGAGUGCUGCAAAUAUUACGUUCUCUGGUCCAGAGCACGCAGAAUGAUCUGCUGGAAAGUAACAGUAAGAAAGGAGAGGAGUUACAAGUGUGCUGGUGAUCUAAUGAUUGUCUUGAGAUUGUUACAGAAGACCUAAACAUGCCUAAGGACCCUGUGUUCAUCAGAAGGAUUCAACAAUCAACAAAAUUAAAUACCUUCAGGACAUGCAAUAUCAUCGGACCACUCUGAAGUUAAAGUGAGGGAGUAUAUGCAUCUUAUUCUACAAAGAAGUGAGCAAAGAAACUUUGAGUAAAUGUCAGCUUCAGCCAGAGUAGUCAAGCAACUGUGGAAAUGAUGUGAGAG
Protopterus annectens (West African lungfish) is the source of this 376-nucleotide long non-coding RNA. RefSeq lists it as uncharacterized. NCBI's taxonomy places the organism in Eukaryota, Metazoa, Chordata, Ceratodontiformes, Protopteridae. The transcript is spliced from 3 exons. The record is from RefSeq and is a predicted model, not a curated record.